Molecule: ribosomal RNA, 1508 nt
Filed under: metagenome
Description: bacterial SSU rRNA
Rfam family: Bacterial small subunit ribosomal RNA
Source: RNAcentral
AGAGUUUGAUCCUGGCUCAGAACGAACGCUGGCGGCGUGGAUGAGGCAUGCAAGUCGAACGAACUUUGACGAGUAGCAAUAUUUGUCAAAGAGAGUGGCGUAAGGGUGAGUAAUACGUAGGUAAUCUGCCUCCUAGAUGGGCACAACCUGGCGAAAGCCGGGCUAAUUCCCAAUGUGGCAGCUCCGGGCAUCCGGAGCAAUCUGAAGUCGGGGACCGCAAGGCCUGACGCUAGGAGAUGAGCCUGCGACCUAUCAGCUUGUUGGUGAGGUAAUGGCUCACCAAGGCUUACGGGUAGCUGGUCUGAGAGGACGAUCAGCCACACUGGGACUGAGACACUGCCCAGACUCCUACGGGAGGCUGCAGUCGAGAAUCUUUCGCAAUGGGGGAAACCCUGACGAAGCGACGCCGCGUGCAGGAUGAAAGCCUUCGGGUUGUAAACUGCUGUCUUUCGGGAGCAAGGAACACGGGUUAAUAAUCCGUGAACUUGAUAGUACCGGAGGAGGAAGCCACGGCUAACUCUGUGCCAGCAGCCGCGGUAAUACAGAGGUGGCAAGCGUUGUUCGGAUUUACUGGGCGUAAAGGGUGCGUAGGCGGUUCUGUGUGUCGGGUGUGAAAUCCCACGGAUUAUCUGUGGAACGGCAUUCGAAACUACAGGGCUAGAGUGCGGGAGAGGAAGGUGGAAUUCUCGGUGUAGCGGUGAAAUGCGUUGAUAUCGAGAGGAACGCCGGUGGUGAAGACGACCUUCUGGAACGCAACUGACGCUGAGGCACGAAAGCUAGGGGAGCAAACAGGAUUAGAUACCCUGGUAGUCCUAGCCGUAAACGGUGUGCACUUGAUGUAGGAGGAAUUAUCCCCUUCUGUGUCGAAGCUAACGCGAUAAGCGCACCGCCUGGGGAGUACGGUCGCAAGAUUAAAACUCAAAGGAAUUGACGGGGGCCCGCACAAGCGGUGGAGCAUGUGGCUUAAUUCGAUGCAACGCGAAGAACCUUACCUGGACUUGACAUGUAACUGCACGCUGGGCGAAAGCCCGGAAGCCUUCGAGGGUGUUACACAGGUGCUGCAUGGCUGUCGUCAGCUCGUGCCGUGAGGUGUUAGGUUAAGUCCUGCAACGAGCGCAACCCCCUGUGACUAGUUGCCGGUGCGCAAGCACGGAACUCUAGUCAGACUGCCUGUGAUAAGCAGGAGGAAGGUGGGGAUGACGUCAAGUCAGUAUGGUCCUUAUGUCCAGGGCUGCACACGUGCUACAAUGGUCGGUACAGAGGGAUGCGAGCUCGCGAGAGCAAGCUAAUCCCCGAAAACCGACCUCAGUUCAGAUUGGAGUCUGCAACUCGACUCCAUGAAGCUGGAAUCGCUAGUAAUGGCGCAUCAGCUACGGCGCCGUGAAUACGUUCCCGGGCCUUGUACACACCGCCCGUCACAUCAUGAAAGCCGAUUGCACCCGAAGUGGCCUCACGGUCCCUAAGGUGUGGUUGGUGAUUGGGAUGAAGUCGUAACAAGGUAGCCGUAC